Molecule: long non-coding RNA, 1374 nt
Filed under: Homo sapiens (human)
Lineage: Eukaryota; Metazoa; Chordata; Mammalia; Primates; Hominidae
Description: HSALNT0096855
Source: RNAcentral
GGCUAUUUGAAAAUCAGAGCAUCUUUUAAAAGGGAGACGGCAUCUGAACCUUGCCGAGUAGGAAUGUUCCAGAAGUAAGAGAGAUGACUAGGGUUUCAAGAACAAGGACCAGCACCUAUGAAGGCUCUGAGGCACAGACCACUGUGACCUGUGGAGAAGUGACAGCAAAGUGAAAGGCACGUUUUGAUUACUACCGACAUUCACAGUCUGGACACGGGUGACAAAUCUAAAGGGCCAUAGGAGUUGAAUCACUGCUAUGACUUCUGAAUGGAUCUGCUUCUGGAGAUGAGCUCUCCGCCUGUUCCCAGGAGGUCUGAGAGAUACCCUGGACAUUAUCCGUGAGAGCCACCUGCCAAGGCAGGAGAUAUUGCCCAUUCGUCCAACUGCCGCUGUCCUGCCAGUAUAUCGUCUGAGAUUACCAUCAGCUAAAUAUUGCAUUGUCUUUGGACAAUUUUCCUACAUUGUGACUCCUCACUACAUUUUCAAUGCUUUUCUAGUCCCAGACAAGCUACAGACUGUUAAUUUACACUUGCUUUUGCCUUGCCUGAGGAAAUUGAAAAUAAAUUUUAAUUUCCUAGUCAAGGGCUACGGGUGCUUUGUGUGGUUUGGAGGAAAAAAAAAUACUGUUAGAUGGAAUUAGGGAAUAUUAGGAGAGUUUCUGAAGUUAGUGAAGGUACACAGUAAUUGAUCACUUGCCCUCAUAGUGAGAGGUCAUUCCAAUGAGCAGAGGUUCUGUCAAUAUCUGAGAUCUGUUUGAUACCUGGCCUCAAUCUGUCGAUCACGCCCAGUAACCAUAUUCAUAGGCUUCAGAUCUGAAUUUUGAAUUGCAUCAGAAGCUUUCCUCUGGCCUCAGAGAUGCCAUUGAGACCAUUCUCAUAGUUAGUCACCACUCACACUACACAAAAUGGAAGAAAAAAACUUCCUUUGGGGCAAAUCAACAAUCUCUGGUAGGAAAAUAAACAAGGAUGCUUUCAGAAUACCAGAAGCCCAAGUCUGAGCAUCUGGAGGCAAAGGAAGAGUAGAGAAGUCUUUGUUGGUGGGACCACUGCCUGUAGGAAUUUAAGGGAACUUGGAUCUUAGGAGUUGCUCAGUUAAGUCCUAGAGAGAGCCUAAGUGGGACUGAUGAGAAGCAGAACAAAUUGCUAUUUCUGAGAAGAAAAACCAACACUUUUGGAUGUUAACUUUUGGAUGUUUGAAUUUUUUGUUUUAGUUUUUAUUCCUUUUGGGAAAAGCUAUUUUUAUCGCAAAAAAAUAUGUAAAGCUAGCAACAAAAUAGUUGAAAGUAUUUAUUGUGUACCUACUGUGUGAUAAUAGCAGCUGGGUUUCAAACACAAGUGAAUAUGAAAUAAAUGAGCCCUAGAUGCACAAAAAUAC